UACGUAGGUGGCGAGCGUUAUCCGGAUUUACUGGGUGUAAAGGGCGAGUAGGCGGGAUUGCAAGUCAGAUGUGAAAACUAUGGGCUCAACCGAUAGAGUGCAUUUGAAACUGCAGUUCUUGAGUGAUGGAGAGGCAGGCGGAAUUCCCGGUGUAGCGGUGGAAUGCGCAGAUAUUGGGAAGAACACCGGCGGCGAAGGCGGCCUUCUGGGCCACGACUGACGCUGAGGCGCGAAAGCUAGGGGAGCGAACAGG
This 253-nucleotide ribosomal RNA is filed under the name uncultured Oscillospiraceae bacterium. RNAcentral describes it as "partial 16S ribosomal RNA". It matches the Rfam family "Bacterial small subunit ribosomal RNA", at positions 524 to 776 of the family's 1533-position model. The record is from RNAcentral. Lineage: Bacteria; Bacillati; Bacillota; Clostridia; Eubacteriales; Oscillospiraceae.